RNAcentral lists this ribosomal RNA (492 nucleotides) under uncultured bacterium. RNAcentral describes it as "partial 16S ribosomal RNA". It matches the Rfam family "Bacterial small subunit ribosomal RNA", at positions 28 to 507 of the family's 1533-position model. The record is from RNAcentral.
GAUGAACGCUAGCUACAGGCUUAACACAUGCAAGUCGAGGGGAAACGACAUCGAAAGCUUGCUUUUGAUGGGCGUCGACCGGCGCACGGGUGAGUAACGCGUAUCCAACCUGCCCACCACUUGGGGAUAACCUUGCGAAAGUAAGACUAAUACCCAAUGAUAUCUCUAGAAGACAUCUGAAAGAGAUUAAAGAUUUAUCGGUUAUGGAUGGGGAUGCGUCUGAUUAGCUUGUUGGCGGGGUAACGGCCCACCAAGGCAACGAUCAGUAGGGGUUCUGAGAGGAAGGUGCCCGACAUUGGAACUGGGACACGGUCCAAACUCCUACGGGAGGCAGCAGUGAGGAAUAUUGGUCAAUGGACGAGAGUCUGAACCAGCCAAGUAGCGUGCAGGAAGACGGCCCUAUGGGUUGUAAACUGCUUUUAGAAGGGAAUAAAGUGAGUCUCGUGAGACUUUUUGCAUGUACCUGAUGAAUAAGGACCGGCUAAUUCCGUG